Molecule: ribosomal RNA, 484 nt
Filed under: uncultured bacterium
Lineage: Bacteria
Description: partial 16S ribosomal RNA
Rfam family: Bacterial small subunit ribosomal RNA
Source: RNAcentral
AUUGUACGCUAGCGGGAUGCUUUACACAUGCAAGUCGAACGGCAGCGCGGACUUCGGUCUGGCGGCGAGUGGCGAACGGGUGAGUAAUGUAUCGGAACGUGCCCAGUAGCGGGGGAUAACUACGCGAAAGCGUAGCUAAUACCGCAUACGCCCUACGGGGGAAAGCAGGGGAUCGUAAGACCUUGCACUAUUGGAGCGGCCGAUAUCGGAUUAGCUAGUUGGUGAGGUAACGGCUCACCAAGGCGACGAUCCGUAGCUGGUUUGAGAGGACGACCAGCCACACUGGGACUGAGACACGGCCCAGACUCCUACGGGAGGCAGCAGUGGGGAAUUUUGGACAAUGGGGGCAACCCUGAUCCAGCCAUCCCGCGUGUGCGAUGAAGGCCUUCGGGUUGUAAAGCACUUUUGGCAGGAAAGAAACGUCGCGGGCUAAUACCCCGUGGAACUGACGGUACCUGCAGAAUAAGCACCGGCUAACUACGUG